This 67-nucleotide transfer RNA is filed under the name Heterocephalus glaber (naked mole-rat). It matches the Rfam family "tRNA". Rfam says of the family: Transfer RNA (tRNA) molecules are approximately 80 nucleotides in length. Their secondary structure includes four short double-helical elements and three loops (D, anti-codon, and T loops). Further hydrogen bonds mediate the characteristic L-shaped molecular structure. tRNAs have two regions of fundamental functional importance: the anti-codon, which is responsible for specific mRNA codon recognition, and the 3' end, to which the tRNAs corresponding amino acid is attached (by aminoacyl-tRNA synthetases). tRNAs cope with the degeneracy of the genetic code in two manners: having more than one tRNA (with a specific anti-codon) for a particular amino acid; and 'wobble' base-pairing, i.e. permitting non-standard base-pairing at the 3rd anti-codon position. Lineage: Eukaryota; Metazoa; Chordata; Mammalia; Rodentia; Bathyergidae. The record is from Rfam by way of RNAcentral.
GGGGAUGUAGCUAAAUGGUAGAGCGCAUGCAUAUGCGAGGCCCUGGGUUCAAUCCCCAGCACCUUGA